Molecule: ribosomal RNA, 825 nt
Filed under: Streptomyces radiopugnans
Lineage: Bacteria; Bacillati; Actinomycetota; Actinomycetes; Kitasatosporales; Streptomycetaceae
Description: partial 16S ribosomal RNA
Rfam family: Bacterial small subunit ribosomal RNA (bases 348-825)
Source: RNAcentral
AGGCCGAAGCCCACAAUGGCUGAAAGCACUGCACUGCCCUCCACACAUGUUCCGGGCCCUUGCAUAAGUGGCGUCGUCACGACUAGACGCUAAUGAUCGCUGAGGCUGAAGUACCCCAGCUCAACGUCUGGGGUUAGGCUUGACUCUGGCCGAAAAACUCUAAGCGAGUUGGAGUGCCGUAGCGUCGAGUAACCUGGCCGGUAACAUAGUGCCCACGACCGGUUCCCUAUCCCCCGUACAACUGAACUUCAGCAUGGUAUCAUCGGCAUCAACUGGGGCCCCCAGAGGGCCCUUGGGGCAGUGGGCCUUCCCCGCGACCUUUUUUCCUUCUCCCAACGCGAGCCACGUGGUUAAUUGGGUUGUAAGGUCCGUGCUCGACUGCUGUCGGUACCGGGUUGACUUGUGGCUGCUUUCCCCGGCUCGUACAAACCACCAAAAGAUACACGGAUUCGGAACAAUUCCAAGAAGCACAAUUUUAAUUAAUUUGGACUACGAGCCUUCGAACAGGCGGGGGGAAAAAUAAACUUAUUAAAAAUGGGUACGGGCCCCUUAUGUCUUGGGCUGCACACGUGCUACAAUGGCCGGUACAAUGAGCUGCGAUGCCGUGAGGUGGAGCGAAUCUCAAAAAGCCGGUCUCAGUUCGGAUUGGGGUCUGCAACUCGACCCCAUGAAGUCGGAGUCGCUAGUAAUCGCAGAUCAGCACUGCUGCGGUGAAUACGUUCCCGGGCCUUGUACACACCGCCCGUCACGUCACGAAAGUCGGUAACACCCGAAGCCGGUGGCCCAACCCCUUGUGGGAUCGUCGAAGGUGGGACUGGCGAUUGG